This 233-nucleotide ribosomal RNA is filed under the name uncultured bacterium. RNAcentral's name for it is "partial 16S ribosomal RNA". It matches the Rfam family "Bacterial small subunit ribosomal RNA", at positions 333 to 558 of the family's 1533-position model. The record is from RNAcentral.
UGUAUCCUACGGGGGGCAGCAGUAGGGAAUCUUCCACAAUGGACGAAAGCCUGAUGGAGCAACGCCGCGUGAGUGAAGAAGGGUUUCGGCUCGUAAAGCUCUGUUGGUAGUGAAGAAAGAUAGAGGGAGUAACUGGCCUUUAUUUGACGGUAAUUACUUAGAAAGUCACGGCUAACUACGUGCCAGCAGCCGCGGUAAUACGUAGGUGGCAAGCGUUGUCCGGAUUUAUUGGG